CAACCACCCCCUGUUCACCCACGCCUGAUGUGUGUUACAGAUCUUACCUUCAUCAUCUCUUUGGACAAUUCUCUCAUGGUCGCCUGGAUUUCAGGGAUUUUCACUAAGCUCUGCAUAGCUUUCAUGACUUCUGUGCUCUUCUGCAACGAACCUGCUACUCUGAGGACAGCAAGCUGGUUCUUCAUUCCCAUGAGAACAGAGUUCAUGUGAGCUUUGGAGGCAUAGAGUUUGCUUACAGCCUUCCUAGAGCGGAUCAGUUCCUUGGCCAGGAUCACACACACAUCCUUCUGCCCCUUUUUGGCAGCAUCCUUUAUCGACCGCUUCACCUUUUCCUCUUCUCUCUGAAUAUCUCUGAUCUGUCUGUCAAUGACUCUCAUCUCCUUCCUUAUCUUCAGGGACCAUUCGUUGACCAGCUCCUUGGGCGGUUUCUCGGGGGUCUUCCCGAAGAGGCCCAUGGCGGAACCGGCCCGCCCGGCACCGCCUUCCCCGCCCCGCCCUCUGACGGGGCCUCGCGGCGCAGAGCCCUCCGCGCACGCGCCGA
Molecule: long non-coding RNA, 541 nt
Filed under: Gallus gallus (chicken)
Lineage: Eukaryota; Metazoa; Chordata; Aves; Galliformes; Phasianidae
Source: RNAcentral